CUUUACAUACUUAUCACUUUCAGGUUUUACCUUCGUCUUCGUUUUAAUGCGCUGUCAUUCGACAGGAUUUCUGCUGGACACGACCCCGACAUAUGCAUGCGUUUACCAGCAGCAGAGCUGCGACGUGUUCAAUGCUUCAUUCAACGUCUGCAACAACCUGCACAAUGCCUAUCAGAUCUGCCGCAAGUUGUGUGGCUUAUGCAGCGUAG
Molecule: long non-coding RNA, 209 nt
Organism: Dreissena polymorpha
Lineage: Eukaryota; Metazoa; Mollusca; Bivalvia; Myida; Dreissenidae
Exons: 3
Source: RefSeq, a predicted model, not a curated record